Molecule: long non-coding RNA, 276 nt
Organism: Aphidius gifuensis
Lineage: Eukaryota; Metazoa; Arthropoda; Insecta; Hymenoptera; Braconidae
Exons: 3
Source: RefSeq, a predicted model, not a curated record
AAAUUAAUAAUAAAUUGUCAACGACACGAAAAUUGAUUAGUUAUUACUUAUUAUUCUUCAGAUUACUCCAAUGUAAACAAUCUUGUUGUAUAAUGCAGAUUAAUCAUGAAAGAGCAAAAGUUGAUGAAUUAUCUCGAGAAAUGAAAGAAAAACAUGAAAAUAGGACUAGUUAUUAUGAAACAUCGCGAGCUGGAAAUAUAAGAAUGUUUAAAAUGUAUGAAAAGAGCAUACGCUCAGAACUAAAAAUGCAUCAUAUCUUGGAAAAUGUUGAAUCGG